Molecule: ribosomal RNA, 331 nt
Filed under: uncultured Thermoprotei archaeon
Lineage: Archaea; Thermoproteati; Thermoproteota; Thermoprotei
Description: bacterial SSU rRNA
Rfam family: Archaeal small subunit ribosomal RNA
Source: RNAcentral
CGUCGACAGUCUGCCUUCUUUAGCGAGACCCCUGCGUCUAGUUGCUACCAUUACUCUCUGGAGCAGUGGAGCGAAUUAGACGGACCGCCACAGUUAAUGUGGAGGAAGGAUGGGGCCACGGUAGGUCAAUAUGCCCCGAAACCCUAGGGCUACACGCGGGCUGCAAUGGUAUUGACAAUGUGUUCCGAAUCCGAAAGGAGGAGGCAAUCAUCAAACAAUAUCUCAGUUAUGACUGAGGGCUGUAACUCGCCCUCACGAAAAUGGAAUCCCUAGUAACCGCGCGUCACUACCGCGCGGUGAAUACGUCCCUGCUCCUUGCACGAAUUCGCCG